Molecule: ribosomal RNA, 254 nt
Filed under: uncultured bacterium
Lineage: Bacteria
Description: partial 16S ribosomal RNA
Rfam family: Bacterial small subunit ribosomal RNA
Source: RNAcentral
UACGGGGGGGGCAAGCGUUGUUCGGAAUUACUGGGCGUAAAGGGCUCGUAGGUGGCCAACUAAGUCGGACGUGAAAUCCCUCGGCUUAACCGAGGAACUGCGUCCGAUACUGGUUGGCUUGAGUUUGGGAGAGGGAUGCGGAAUUCCAGGUGUAGCGGUGAAAUGCGUAGAUAUCUGGAGGAACACCGGUGGCGAAGGCGGCAUCCUGGACCAACACUGACGCUGAGUGAGCGAAAGCCAGGGGAGCAAACGGG